This 303-nucleotide ribosomal RNA is filed under the name uncultured Helicobacter sp. Its description in RNAcentral is "bacterial SSU rRNA". It matches the Rfam family "Bacterial small subunit ribosomal RNA", at positions 1088 to 1392 of the family's 1533-position model. The record is from RNAcentral. Lineage: Bacteria; Pseudomonadati; Campylobacterota; Epsilonproteobacteria; Campylobacterales; Helicobacteraceae.
CGCAACGAGCGCAACCCUCGUCCUUAGUUGCUAACAGUUUGGCUGAGCACUCUAGGGAGACUGCCUUCGCAAGGAGGAGGAAGGUGAGGACGACGUCAAGUCAUCAUGGCCCUUACGCCUAGGGCUACACACGUGCUACAAUGGGAUGUACAAAGAGACGCAAUACCGCGAGGUGGAGCAAAUCUCUUAAAGCCAAUCUCAGUUCGGAUUGUAGGCUGCAACUCGCCUACAUGAAGUCGGAAUCGCUAGUAAUCGCGGAUCAGCACGCCGCGGUGAAUACGUUCCCGGGCCUUGUACUCACCA